RNAcentral lists this ribosomal RNA (467 nucleotides) under uncultured bacterium. Its description in RNAcentral is "partial 16S ribosomal RNA". It matches the Rfam family "Bacterial small subunit ribosomal RNA", at positions 29 to 507 of the family's 1533-position model. The record is from RNAcentral.
ACGAACGCUGGCGGCGUGCUUAACACAUGCAAGUCGCACGGAAAGGCCCUGCUUUUGUGGGGUGCUCGAGUGGCGAACGGGUGAGUAACACGUGAGUAACCUGCCCUUGACUUUGGGAUAACUUCAGGAAACUGGGGCUAAUACCGGAUAGGAGCUCCUGCUGCAUGGUGGGGGUUGGAAAGUUUCGGCGGUUGGGGAUGGACUCGCGGCUUAUCAGCUUGUUGGUGGGGUAGUGGCUUACCAAGGCUUUGACGGGUAGCCGGCCUGAGAGGGUGACCGGCCACAUUGGGACUGAGAUACGGCCCAGACUCCUACGGGAGGCAGAAGUGGGGAAUAUUGCACAAUGGGCGGAAGCCUGAUGCAGCAACGCCGCGUGCGGGAUGACGGCCUUCGGGUUGUAAACCGCUUUCGCCUGUGACGAAGCGUGAGUGACGGUAAUGGGUAAAGAAGCACCGGCUAACUACGUG